GGGCGAAUAGCUCAGUUGGGAGAGCACCUGCCUUACAAGCAGGGGGUCACAGGUUCGAGCCCUGUUUCGCCCA
Halanaerobium hydrogeniformans is the source of this 73-nucleotide transfer RNA. It matches the Rfam family "tRNA". From Rfam's summary of the family: Transfer RNA (tRNA) molecules are approximately 80 nucleotides in length. Their secondary structure includes four short double-helical elements and three loops (D, anti-codon, and T loops). Lineage: Bacteria; Bacillati; Bacillota; Clostridia; Halanaerobiales; Halanaerobiaceae. The record is from Rfam.